This 1550-nucleotide ribosomal RNA is filed under the name Klebsiella aerogenes. Its description in RNAcentral is "bacterial SSU rRNA". It matches the Rfam family "Bacterial small subunit ribosomal RNA". Lineage: Bacteria; Pseudomonadati; Pseudomonadota; Gammaproteobacteria; Enterobacterales; Enterobacteriaceae. The record is from RNAcentral.
AAAUUGAAGAGUUUGAUCAUGGCUCAGAUUGAACGCUGGCGGCAGGCCUAACACAUGCAAGUCGAGCGGUAACACAGAGAGCUUGCUCUCGGGUGACGAGCGGCGGACGGGUGAGUAAUGUCUGGGAAACUGCCUGAUGGAGGGGGAUAACUACUGGAAACGGUAGCUAAUACCGCAUAACGUCGCAAGACCAAAGUGGGGGACCUUCGGGCCUCAUGCCAUCAGAUGUGCCCAGAUGGGAUUAGCUAGUAGGUGGGGUAAUGGCUCACCUAGGCGACGAUCCCUAGCUGGUCUGAGAGGAUGACCAGCCACACUGGAACUGAGACACGGUCCAGACUCCUACGGGAGGCAGCAGUGGGGAAUAUUGCACAAUGGGCGCAAGCCUGAUGCAGCCAUGCCGCGUGUAUGAAGAAGGCCUUCGGGUUGUAAAGUACUUUCAGCGAGGAGGAAGGCGUUAAGGUUAAUAACCUUGGCGAUUGACGUUACUCGCAGAAGAAGCACCGGCUAACUCCGUGCCAGCAGCCGCGGUAAUACGGAGGAUGCAAGCGUUAAUCGGAAUUACUGGGCGUAAAGCGCACGCAGGCGGUCUGUCAAGUCGGAUGUGAAAUCCCCGGGCUCAACCUGGGAACUGCAUUCGAAACUGGCAGGCUAGAGUCUUGUAGAGGGGGGUAGAAUUCCAGGUGUAGCGGUGAAAUGCGUAGAGAUCUGGAGGAAUACCGGUGGCGAAGGCGGCCCCCUGGACAAAGACUGACGCUCAGGUGCGAAAGCGUGGGGAGCAAACAGGAUUAGAUACCCUGGUAGUCCACGCCGUAAACGAUGUCGACUUGGAGGUUGUGCCCUUGAGGCGUGGCUUCCGGAGCUAACGCGUUAAGUCGACCGCCUGGGGAGUACGGCCGCAAGGUUAAAACUCAAAUGAAUUGACGGGGGCCCGCACAAGCGGUGGAGCAUGUGGUUUAAUUCGAUGCAACGCGAAGAACCUUACCUACUCUUGACAUCCAGAGAACUUAGCAGAGAUGCUUUGGUGCCUUCGGGAACUCUGAGACAGGUGCUGCAUGGCUGUCGUCAGCUCGUGUUGUGAAAUGUUGGGUUAAGUCCCGCAACGAGCGCAACCCUUAUCCUUUGUUGCCAGCGGUCCGGCCGGGAACUCAAAGGAGACUGCCAGUGAUAAACUGGAGGAAGGUGGGGAUGACGUCAAGUCAUCAUGGCCCUUACGAGUAGGGCUACACACGUGCUACAAUGGCAUAUACAAAGAGAAGCGACCUCGCGAGAGCAAGCGGACCUCAUAAAGUAUGUCGUAGUCCGGAUUGGAGUCUGCAACUCGACUCCAUGAAGUCGGAAUCGCUAGUAAUCGUAGAUCAGAAUGCUACGGUGAAUACGUUCCCGGGCCUUGUACACACCGCCCGUCACACCAUGGGAGUGGGUUGCAAAAGAAGUAGGUAGCUUAACCUUCGGGAGGGCGCUUACCACUUUGUGAUUCAUGACUGGGGUGAAGUCGUAACAAGGUAACCGUAGGGGAACCUGCGGUUGGAUCACCUCCUUACCUUAAAGAA